Molecule: ribosomal RNA, 443 nt
Filed under: uncultured bacterium
Lineage: Bacteria
Description: partial 16S ribosomal RNA
Rfam family: Bacterial small subunit ribosomal RNA
Source: RNAcentral
CCUACGGGGGGCAGCAGUGGGGAAUAUUGGGCAAUGGGCGCAAGCCUGACCCAGCAACGCCGCGUGAAGGAAGACGGCUUUCGGGUUGUAAACUUCUUUUCUCAGGGACGAAGCAAGUGACGGUACCUGAGGAAUAAGCCACGGCUAACUACGUGCCAGCAGCCGCGGUAAUACGUAGGUGGCAAGCGUUAUCCGGAUUUACUGGGUGUAAAGGGAGUGUAGGCGGGACGGCAAGUCAGAUGUGAAAACCACGGGCUCAACCUGUGGACUGGAUUUGAAACUGGAGUUCUUGAGUACUGGAGAGGUAGACGGAAUUCGUAGUGUAGCGGUGAAAUGCGUAGAUAUUAGGAGGAACACCAGUGGCGAAGGCGGUCUGCUGGACAGCAACUGACGCUGAGGCGCGAAAGUGUGGGGAGCAAACAGGAUUAGAUACCCGUGUAGUC